RNAcentral lists this long non-coding RNA (1852 nucleotides) under Homo sapiens (human). RNAcentral describes it as "HSALNT0353151". The record is from RNAcentral. Lineage: Eukaryota; Metazoa; Chordata; Mammalia; Primates; Hominidae.
GAGUUGGGGGAGAGGACCAGAACCACCUGCUGGAGAAGGGGAGCUACGGGGGCCGGGCAGGGUCCAAACGCCUCACGUAGGCGGCGGCGCCACGGUCUUCGGGGUCACAGGGAAGAGAAGGGCUCUCCUCAAGCGGGUGGAAGGAGGGAGGCCUCCCGAGGGAGUGAGACUCUAGGCCACUCCCCCGCAGCAAGGCAGGAUCACCUGCGACGCGGAGAGCGGUUAGAGGGCCCUGGAGUGGAAAAGGGCAGUGGGACCUGGUAGCUUGGGUUCCCUGCAACUUGGGGUUCGACCUCCAGGCAAUGAAGUAGGGAUGGUCCUGCAAGUCAAGAUUCCAGUAGCAAGAGUGCAUCAGAUCUCUGUAAGGAAAAUAACUAACAUUGCUCAGUUCCCUGUAGAGUUGCAGGGCGCUUUAACGUUAUCUCCCUUGGUUCUCCAUCAGGUCGUAGUGGACUAAUUUUACAGGCGAAGUUAAGUGACUUACCCAAAACCUCACAGCUAAUAAACGGCAGAGCCGGCACCCAGCUGUACUGGCUUCCAAUUCUGUUAGCUUACCAGCGCAUCACAUUAUCUCCAUAAAUCCCCAUGAUUCAACUAAUAUUAGACGCCCCACAGAGUCUCGCUACUCAAAACGUGGUCAGUGGCCCAGCAGCACUGACAUGAGGAUGUUAGUUAGAAACUCAGAAUCUCAGGCUCCACCCCAGACCUGCUGAACCAGCAUCUUCAACUUAACAAGAACCCGAAGAGAUUUGUGUCACAUCAAAAAGUUUGAGAAGCUCUGAUCUAGGGCUGGAAGGAGUGUUGCUCAACAAUAUCCAAAACCACAGAGGUUGAAAAGCACAAGGAAAGAAGGUAUGUUUGCACUUUGUGAUUAGGUAGUAGGGUCUUUGAGACCACAUUGUUCUUAUUGAAAGCCUGGGAAGAAAGAUCCCCUUUCUGGUCAAGUUUAGUCUAGGGAUCCAUCCCAUCUUCCCCAGUUCCCACGUGUAUGGGACAUGUCGAGAUAAGUAGAUAGAUUGGACAGUGGGAGAAAGUAGUUCUCUUCCAGUUGCUUCUAUUUUCUCAGCAAAGUGAGGAGCAAGAUCAUUUUGGCAGACUGCUAAUUGUCCAUCACAAUUUAGUCUCCCUUUCUCCCUGAAAACACAGACUGCUUUUCUCAGCCUCUCUUUCAGUUGCAUAUGGUCAAGUAUUAAGUUAUAGAACGUGAGCAGAUGUUAUGUCUGCCACUGUCAGGCCAAGGCGUUUACUUUGAGAGUACUUGUGCCUCUUUCAUGCAUUUUCCUUUCUGCCAGCUGGACCCUGGACACGGUGACUCUGAUUCAAUUAUGCAGAUGACCACAAACCUCUGGGGUUGGCAGAGCCACAAGAAAGAAGGUGCCUGGAUGAAGGAGAGCUACCCACUGACCUGGACACCCAAUUAUGUCAUAGGUGCUGUGAUCUAGAGACAAAAUGUUCCUUACACUGGCAGAUACUUGCAAACUAAGGGGAAUGAGCUUCCUUCUGAAUGUUUAUGAAGGAGAGGCCACUGUGAGGAUAGACAGUGAAGUGCAACUACAGCCCGCAAAUGAAAAUGAAUAAUAUUAAUCCAGCCCCUCAAGGCAGUCAUCUGUCUUAGAGCUAUUGGAAUCCUGGAUCAUUGUGGGAAAUGAAAGAUACUUCGAUGGAAUCAGCAGCCAUUGAUCCAAUGCCAACUCCAAGACUGGAACGUCGCAAUGAUAGUUCCAAGGCGGAAAUUUGACGUAAUUCUUUUCGACACAGUUUUACAGGUCUGGAUGCCCAUUUUAAUUCUUCUGAAAGCAUGCCUCCUCCUUCUGGCUUCAGGACUCCAUCUCCAGCCUCUUGAUCUAAAAAU